Molecule: ribosomal RNA, 808 nt
Filed under: uncultured bacterium
Lineage: Bacteria
Description: bacterial SSU rRNA
Rfam family: Bacterial small subunit ribosomal RNA
Source: RNAcentral
AGAGUUUGAUCAUGGCUCAGAACGAACGCUGGCGGCGCGCCUAAUACAUGCAAGUCGAGCGAGAAGGUGUAGCAAUACACUUGUAAAGCGGCAAACGGGUGAGGAAUGCUUGGGUGACCUACCCUCGAGUGGGGAAUAACCAGCCGAAAGGUUGGCUAAUACCGCGUACGCUUCCCGAUUCACGGAUCGGGAAGAAAAGUCGGGCCGAGGGCUCGGCGCUCUUGGAUGGGCUCAUGCCCUAUCAGCUUGUUGGUGAGGUAACGGCUCACCAAGGCUACGACGGGUAGCUGGUCUGAGAGGACGAUCAGCCACACUGGCACUGCGACACGGGCCAGACUCCUACGGGAGGCAGCAGUAAGGAAUAUUGCGCAAUGGGCGAAAGCCUGACGCAGCGACGCCGCGUGGGGGAUGAAGGUCUUCGGAUUGUAAACCCCUUUCGGGAGGGAAGAUGGAACGAGCAAUCGUUCGGACGGUACCUCCAGAAGCAGCCACGGCUAACUUCGUGCCAGCAGCCGCGGUAAUACGAAGGUGGCAAGCGUUGUUCGGAUUUACUGGGCGUACAGGGUGCGUAGGCGGUCCAAUAAGCCUCCUGGGAAAUCUUCAGGCCUAACCUGGAAAGUUCGGGAGGGACUGUCGGGCUAGAGGACGGGAGAGGAGCGCGGAAUUCCCGGUGUAGCGGUGAAAUGCGUAGAGAUCGGGAGGAAGGCCGGUGGCGAAGGCGGCGCUCUGGAACGCUCCUGACGCUGAGGCACGAAAGCGUGGGGAGCAAACAGGAUUAGAUACCCUGGUAGUCCACGCCCUAAACGAU